GACGAACGCUGGCGGCGUGCUUAACACAUGCAAGUCGAACGGAAAGGCCCUGCUUUUGUGGGGUGCUCGAGUGGCGAACGGGUGAGUAACACGUGAGUAACCUGCCCUUGACUUUGGGAUAACUUCAGGAAACUGGGGCUAAUACCGGAUAGGAGCUCCUGCUGCAUGGUGGGGGUUGGAAAGUUUCGGCGGUUGGGGAUGGACUCGCGGCUUAUCAGCUUGUUGGUGGGGUAGUGGCUUACCAAGGCUUUGACGGGUAGCCGGCCUGAGAGGGUGACCGGCCACAUUGGGACCGAGGUAAGGGCCAGGCCCCUACGGGGGGGAACAGGGGGGAAUUAUGGACAAUGGGCGGAAGGCUGAUGCAGGAAAGCCGCGUGCGGGAAGAAGGGCUUUGGGUUGGAAACCGCUUUCGCCUGUGACGAAGCGUGAGUGACGGUAAUGGGGUAAGAAGCAACGGCUAACUACGUG
RNAcentral lists this ribosomal RNA (468 nucleotides) under uncultured bacterium. RNAcentral describes it as "partial 16S ribosomal RNA". It matches the Rfam family "Bacterial small subunit ribosomal RNA", at positions 28 to 507 of the family's 1533-position model. The record is from RNAcentral.